AGGGCAUCUAUCUUGUUUUCUAAGAAGCAUUUUGGAGGUUUUUCUUUACCUGGAGAAAGCACUGGCUAGAGCUAUCUGGCAUACAAUGUAAAGAAGCUUCACGAAAAAUAAAAGAAAAGUGAAAAUAUAUUUAGCUACAAAUGAUUGUCCUCUUCCCUGAAAAUUACAGAAGAGGAAAGCAACAGUGUGUUCAGCAAGCUGGAACUAAACUGUUACUGAAUGGAGAGUUCCCAUCCUGCCUCAGUGGAAUCAAAGAAAAGAGAAAGGCUCCAAAAUGAACACAAUGCGUGUUAUUUGCUACCAUAAACUGUGCAACUGGUUUCUACUGCUGUGUUGCAAUUGAAUAGUAAUCAGGAGAAGUUACACGUUGUUCUUAGAAAUAAUACAACGAAUCCUGUCAAUCUUAAGUCCUGACACUGAAUUUAACGCUCUCUGUUUAGUCCUACCAUCAAGGAUGAUUUGCAGGUGAAGAAUUCUUGAUAGUCAGAUGCAGACUACGUCUUCAGAUCCUAUGGCCUAAGGUUAUUAAGGUGGGAGAAGCAAAACAAAUGCGGUUCUCAUCCAGUAAUAAUGGAUUUACAAGAAUUUGAAACAAAACUUUCCUUCCAGCUACUGCUUUCAUGUCAGAGAAAUAAAAUACAUGUACAAGAUUUAAAGCUUUAUGUGUCUAACCCUUUCUGACCCCUUUUACAUUCAGUUAUUAAUAAUAAUAACUAUGAUAAUAUUGCUUAUGCCCAGGGCUGAAAUGAGGGUUAAUUAGUUAAUAUUUAUAAAGCUUUCUGAAAAUGAAAAGUACUGUUUAAGCCCUAAGUGUA
Long non-coding RNA from Homo sapiens (human), 815 nucleotides. RefSeq lists it as uncharacterized. The transcript has 3 exons. The record is from RefSeq and is a predicted model, not a curated record. Lineage: Eukaryota; Metazoa; Chordata; Mammalia; Primates; Hominidae.